RNAcentral lists this long non-coding RNA (773 nucleotides) under Phoenix dactylifera (date palm). RNAcentral's name for it is "long non-coding RNA (PDAC_LNC002231)". The record is from RNAcentral. Lineage: Eukaryota; Viridiplantae; Streptophyta; Magnoliopsida; Arecales; Arecaceae.
AACACCAAAAUCUUCUUGUAAGCCCACCAGCCAAUAAAGAAUGGCUCUCAAUUCGUCCCAAGACUCUUGUCAUUGAUUUCUAUAGGUUAGGUGGACCACAAUGUCAGGCUAGAGUCCACUUGAUAUUGCCGUUGUCAUUCAUUAAGAUGUUAAGAACGUUCCUUUUUUAAAGAUAUUAGCCACAUGCUAGAAAGAGCGAAUGGCUCUUAGUUCAUCCCAAGGCUCUUCUUGUUGACUAUUAGUCAAUCAGUCGGUGACCACAGUGGCUAGUUGGAAUCCACUUGAUAUUUUCACUAGUGUUUGUCAAGAUUGUUGUUGUAAAGAAAUUACCCAAACUCCUUUACCUGAAGAAAAAGAAGAAGAAGAAGAUCCAAUCAAUUAUGUCCAUGCAAGGAGGAUAGCUUUUGAAGCCUUGGAAGAAAAGAAAGAAAUUCCAUGAAUAAAAGUGAUGGAUUUAAUAUUUCGCAUCAUUCCAAUCCUACAUUCAAAUAUUGCAUCAAGAUUGCCUUUUAUGAAGACAUUAUCGGUAAAGAUCGGAGUGUCUUGGGUGGCUUUGAGUUCAUCGUGGUACUUUUACGGUCAACUUUAUAUUAUCAAUAUAAUAGUGUCAUCAUGAUUGUUGUUUUAAAGAAAUUACUCAAAUUUCUUUACUAGAAAUAGAAAUUACCCCAACUCGGUCAAAUAUGAACGAGUAAAUAUUUUUGGAGCCCCGAAGAAAAGAGAGAAAUAUAAUCAAGACAAGAGAUAGACUCAACAACCAUCUAUUUAUUUGU